Molecule: microRNA precursor, 101 nt
Organism: Colobus angolensis palliatus
Lineage: Eukaryota; Metazoa; Chordata; Mammalia; Primates; Cercopithecidae
Source: Ensembl
UGAGGCAGGAGAAUUGCUUGAACCCAGGAAGUGGAGGUUGCAGUGAGCCGAGAUCGUGCCACUGCUCUCCAGUCUGGGUGACAGAGCAAGACUCCAUCUCA